This is a long non-coding RNA of Marmota monax (woodchuck), 859 nucleotides long. RefSeq lists it as uncharacterized. The transcript is spliced from 2 exons. Lineage: Eukaryota; Metazoa; Chordata; Mammalia; Rodentia; Sciuridae. The record is from RefSeq and is a predicted model, not a curated record.
UGCCACCAGCGGCAGGGGUGGGAUGGUCAGUGAGUCCCCGCGCGCCACGUAGGCCAGCUUUCUUUUCCCAGGCGGGUUGAUUUGGGAGGAAAUUCGAUAGUGGAGACUGGACACGCGCUUCCGGAUUUCUCAUAAGUUUUAAUGUUGUGACGAUCAGGCUGCACCGUGGAUUUUAAAAUCAGAAUUUCUGGGUUGGAAGGGACCUAGGUAUUAGCGUGAAAAAAGUUCCUUCCCCAGGUGUGUUUGCAAAAGUACAUCCCCUGAGGCUGGGAACUAGACAACAAAGAGGAGGCAACUACUCCGGUCCUUGAGGGGGCGGUCCGGGUCCUGCCCAGACACCUCUCAGCAGGGCACCAGUGCAGAGCUCCCCCGCAGUAUCUGAUUUUGGCUCCUGGGACCCAAAGGCAAAGGCUUGUGGGCGUGUGGCUGGGAGCCGCUGGAAGGCAUGUACUGUGUGCUUUGGGUUAAAGGAUUGGCUGAGAAUGGAGUAAAGAUCAGUACCAUUUCUACACAAGUGUUGUAACUGGAUACCUGCAAUGAGCAGGAUUCAACUUUGGAGGCAUGAACUCAACGGCUGGCUCUGCAACCUACUAGUAGAGCAAUUUGGGCACAUAUUGCCCUUCUAAGCCAUGUGUGUGUGUGUGUGUGUGUGUGUGUAUACACAUAUAUAUCUAUCUGUGAAGUGAGUACCAUAUCCAUCUCCCAGGAAUGCCACACAGAGUGAAAGAACAAAUGUAAAAAAAGUGUUUUGUAAAUUCCAAAAUUCUGGGCAAACAUUAGCUUGUAUCACUUGCACAAGAGACUCUUUGAUACUGUCAUUGAAUUUGCAGUAAUCAUCCAUAAAGAUAUUCAACACCAA